GUAGGGAAUAUUGGGCAAUGGUCGGAAGACUGACCCAGCCAUGCCGCGUGCAGGAAGACGGCCCUCUGGGUUGUAAACUGCUUUUAUCUGGGAAGAAAAAGGCCAUGCGUGGCAAAUUGCCGGUACCAGAUGAAUAAGCACCGGCUAACUCCGUGCCAGCAGCCGCGGUAAUACGGAGGGUGCGAGCGUUGUCCGGAUUUAUUGGGUUUAAAGGGUGCGUAGGCGGCUGAUUAAGUCAGCGGUGAAAGACUUCGGCUUAACCGGAGCAGUGCCGUUGAUACUGGUUGGCUUGAGUGUCGGAGGGGUACAUGGAAUUGAUGGUGUAGCGGUGAAAUGCAUAGAUACCAUCAGGAACACCGAUAGCGAAGGCAUUGUACUGGCCGACAACUGACGCUGAUGCACGAAAGGGUGGGGAUCGAACAGGAUUAGAAACCCCGGUAGUCC
Molecule: ribosomal RNA, 444 nt
Filed under: uncultured bacterium
Lineage: Bacteria
Description: partial 16S ribosomal RNA
Rfam family: Bacterial small subunit ribosomal RNA
Source: RNAcentral